CGUAGGGUGCGAGCGUUAAUCGGAAUUACUGGGCGUAAAGCGUGCGCAGGCGGUUUUGUAAGACAGAUGUGAAAUCCCCGGGCUCAACCUGGGACCUGCAUUUGUGACUGCAAGGCUAGAGUACGGUAGAGGGGGAUGGAAUUCCGCGUGUAGCAGUGAAAUGCGUAGAUAUGCGGAGGAACACCAAUGGCGAAGGCAGCCCCCUGGGUCGAUACUGACGCUCAUGCACGAAAGCGUGGGUAGCAAACAGGAUUAGAUACCCUGGUAGUCCACGCCCUAAACGAUGUCAACUAGGUGUUGGGAGGGUAAAACCUUUUAGUACCGGAGCUAACGCGUGAAGUUGACCGCCUGGGGAGUACGGCGCAAGGUU
This 370-nucleotide ribosomal RNA is filed under the name uncultured organism. Its description in RNAcentral is "bacterial SSU rRNA". It matches the Rfam family "Bacterial small subunit ribosomal RNA", at positions 526 to 895 of the family's 1533-position model. The record is from RNAcentral.